CCUACGGGAGGCAGCAGUGAGGAAUAUUGGUCAAUGGGCGCGAGCCUGAACCAGCCAAGUCGCGUGAGGGAUGAAGGUUCUAUGGAUCGUAAACCUCUUUUAUAAGGGAAUAAAGUGUGGGACGUGUCCCAUUUUGUAUGUACCUUAUGAAUAAGGAUCGGCUAACUCCGUGCCAGCAGCCGCGGUAAUACGGAGGAUCCGAGCGUUAUCCGGAUUUAUUGGGUUUAAAGGGUGCGGAGGCGGCGUUUUAAGUCAGCGGUGAAAGUCUGUGGCUCAACCGUAGAAUUGCCAUUGAAACUGGUGGGCUUGAGUAUAGUUGAGGUAGGCGGAAUUCGUGGUGUAGCGGUGAAAUGCUUAGAUAUCACGAAGAACCCCGAUUGCGAAGGCAGCCUGCUAAGCCGUGACUGACGUUGAUGCACGAAAGCGUGGGGAUCAAACAGGAUUAGAUACCCUAGUAGUC
Molecule: ribosomal RNA, 460 nt
Filed under: uncultured bacterium
Lineage: Bacteria
Description: partial 16S ribosomal RNA
Rfam family: Bacterial small subunit ribosomal RNA
Source: RNAcentral